Molecule: ribosomal RNA, 90 nt
Filed under: Aeromonas sp. HMWF016
Lineage: Bacteria; Pseudomonadati; Pseudomonadota; Gammaproteobacteria; Aeromonadales; Aeromonadaceae
Description: partial 23S ribosomal RNA
Source: RNAcentral
GAUAGGUGGGGUGUGUAAGCGCGGCGACGUGUUGAGCUAACCCAUACUAAUUACCCGUGAGGCUUAACCAUACAACACCCAAGAAGUGUU